This 25-nucleotide unclassified non-coding RNA is filed under the name Mus musculus (house mouse). RNAcentral describes it as "oocyte_clustered_small_RNA5316". The record is from RNAcentral. Lineage: Eukaryota; Metazoa; Chordata; Mammalia; Rodentia; Muridae.
UAACAGCUGGACGGCACCAAUCUUC